RNAcentral lists this unclassified non-coding RNA (363 nucleotides) under Hevea brasiliensis (rubber tree). The record is from RNAcentral. Lineage: Eukaryota; Viridiplantae; Streptophyta; Magnoliopsida; Malpighiales; Euphorbiaceae.
UGAGUGAUGAAUUUAAAAGAGUACUUACUUGCCCCUAAUGCCUUCAGAAUAUGCUGAGUCGCAGCAAUGAUAUGUUGUUCUGCUUCAUUGCUUGGCAUGAUAGAUUGACAGUUGCACAUCACCAGAGAAGAAAAGCAGGACAAUUGGAAAAAUGAAUUGAUAAUAACAAUGUAAAUCUUGAAUAAGCCUCAAAUAAAAUCCAGCAAAACCACCAACAAAUGCGUCCUUGCCAAAGUCACAUGAAAUAUUAUAUGGACUGUUGCAAAGAAACCAUGACUUGGGCCGAACUGAGCUUUGGCUUUUUCUCGAGCAGAUGAUGUCUCCAGGCAGAAAGUAGCCGAGAAAGUUGGAAAAAGGAAAUCC